CUAAACGGCCGCGGUACAAAACCGUGCAAAGGUAGCACAAUCACUUGUCCCUUAAAUGAGGACCCGUAUGAAAGGCAACAUGAGAGAAAACCUGUCUCCUAAGGUUAGCCAAUGAAAUUGAUCUAUCAGUACAAAAGCUGGUAUAAUAAAGCAAGACAAAAAGACCCUAUGGAACUUUAACGAGUUGCUUACACAAAUUAAGCAAUAGUUUCAGUUGGGACAACUUUAGAAAAAAUAAACCUCUAACAUUCAUUAUCUCGACCAACAAGUCUCCAAUACGCUACAUAGACCCAGUAACACUGAUAAAUGAAACAAGCUACCCUAGGGAUAACAGCGCUACCUUCUCAAAGAGUCCAUAUCAACAAGAAGAUCUACGACCUCGAUGUUGGAUCAGGGUACCCUGACGGUGCAGCAGCUGUCAAUGGUUCGUUUGUUCAACGACUAACACCC
This 450-nucleotide ribosomal RNA is filed under the name Chamaeleo dilepis (flapneck chameleon). RNAcentral describes it as "partial 16S ribosomal RNA". It matches the Rfam family "Bacterial large subunit ribosomal RNA", at positions 1923 to 2596 of the family's 2925-position model. Lineage: Eukaryota; Metazoa; Chordata; Lepidosauria; Squamata; Chamaeleonidae. The record is from RNAcentral.